UAGCAAUCCAAGGCUGGCCUGGGAGCUGUUCUGCGGCCAUCAUCUCCUACAGCACCUCCAGCUGGGACGGAGGAACUGUGACCUCAGAGAUUACAGGCAUCUAGUCUGGCCUCCUGUGUGACACGGGCCAGAGAAUUUCACCCAGCGAUUCCUCGAUCAAGCUCAAUGACUCCUGGUUGAUCAUGGCAGUAAGAAUUUUUGCCCCGUUGUCUACAGACCCUCCUGCUGGUGGAAGAAGUCAGUGUUUCCUGCUGGGAGAGACUGGGACUGGAGUAGCUGUGAGCUCCUCUCGGUUAAUCCUAUAGUCUCCAAAAAGCCAAGGAAAGUGGGACGACGGAGAGGAAUUCUGCUUCAAGCCAGCAGAAGGGGCAGAGGAAUCUGGCUGAAAGGAAGAAAGAGCAAAGGAGGACAGGGCAGGUGGAGGAGAAGAGAGGCGAGCUGAGGACAGGGGAAGGGCUAAAGGAAACUCCCCAAACAGAGGCCCACAGCAUCCGGAUCUCAGUCUGGGGAGGCUGCCAACAGGACAAAGCGGAGAAGUUCAGAUCCAGGAUCUCAGUGUUGCCAAAGCUCCAGGGUGCUGAGAACUGAGUUGGGGUUAAAGAUAUUCAGCGAGCUAGCUACAAACUUCUCCAGCCCUUAGGGCUGCUCAGAUCUGGGGUUUGGCCCAUGCAGUGUCACCCACUUCUGUGCUUUUAUCACACCUCUCAUGGUACUUGGUGCAUUCCUUAAAGCGCCAGCUCCUGGAGUCAUUUGAUUAUGUGAUUAUUUCAACUCUCAUUUAAAAGACAAAGAACAUUUCUGGUCCUCCUGGUUACAUGGAAAAGCUAGCAAAUGCGAUGCCCUCAAGGCUCGAA
Mauremys reevesii (Reeves's turtle) is the source of this 854-nucleotide long non-coding RNA. RefSeq lists it as uncharacterized. The record is from RefSeq and is a predicted model, not a curated record. The transcript has 3 exons. NCBI's taxonomy places the organism in Eukaryota, Metazoa, Chordata, Testudines, Geoemydidae.